UACAGAGGGGGCAAGCGUUGUUCGGAAUUACUGGGCGUAAAGGGCGCGUAGGCGGCCUGUUAAGUCGAACGUGAAAUCCCCGGGCUCAACCCGGGAACUGCGUCCGAUACUGGUGGGCUUGAAUCCGGGAGAGGGAUGCGGAAUUCCAGGUGUAGCGGUGAAAUGCGUAGAUAUCUGGAGGAACACCGGUGGCGAAGGCGGCAUCCUGGACCGGCAUUGACGCUGAGGCGCGAAAGCUAGGGGAGCAAACGGG
Molecule: ribosomal RNA, 253 nt
Filed under: uncultured bacterium
Lineage: Bacteria
Description: partial 16S ribosomal RNA
Rfam family: Bacterial small subunit ribosomal RNA
Source: RNAcentral